AUUGAACGCUAGCGGGAUGCCUUACACAUGCAAGUCGAACGGCAGCGCGGACUUCGGUCUGGCGGCGAGUGGCGAACGGGUGAGUACUGUAUCGGAACGUGCCCAGUAGCGGGGGAUAACUACUCGCAAGAGUAGCUAAUACCGCAUACGCCCUACGGGGGAAAGGGGGGGAUCGCAAGACCUCUCACUAUUGGAGCGGCCUAUAGCGGAUUAGCUAGUUGGUGAGGUAAAGGCUCACCAAGGCGACGAUCCGUAGCUGGUUUGAGAGGACGACCAGCCACACUGGGACUGAGACACGGCCCAGACUCCUACGGGAGGCAGCAGUGGGGAAUUUUGGACAAUGGGGGCAACCCUGAUCCAGCCAUUCCGCGUGUGCGAUGAAGGCCUUCGGGUUGUAAAGCACUUUUGGCAGGAAAGAAAUCGCACGGAUUAAUACUCUGUGUGGAUGACGGUACCUGCAGAAUAAGCACCGGCUAACUACGUGCCAGCCGCCGCGGUAA
Molecule: ribosomal RNA, 500 nt
Filed under: uncultured bacterium
Lineage: Bacteria
Description: partial 16S ribosomal RNA
Rfam family: Bacterial small subunit ribosomal RNA
Source: RNAcentral